CCAAUCAAUCGAUCUCUGCCAAGAAACUAAAAAUCAAACCACCCGCUAUGCAGUGAAUAAAACCAAAAGUGUGAAAAGUGUGUCCAACCAUCGUGCAACCUGAGAUGCUACGAGAACUACUACAACUACAUGUAAAGUGUGGAGCAACCCGGAGGAGAGUUAAGCAGAGACAUCCGAGUAACUUCUCCAUUACUCAGCAACGUUGGUGAGUUUGCAUGUGUUAGGUUACGGGUAUUUCCCUGGGACUCCUUCAUCACGUGGCGUGGCGGUAACAAUUG
This 278-nucleotide long non-coding RNA is filed under the name Neodiprion lecontei (redheaded pine sawfly). Its description in RNAcentral is "uncharacterized LOC124295273". Lineage: Eukaryota; Metazoa; Arthropoda; Insecta; Hymenoptera; Diprionidae. The record is from RNAcentral.